Molecule: ribosomal RNA, 498 nt
Filed under: uncultured bacterium
Lineage: Bacteria
Description: partial 16S ribosomal RNA
Rfam family: Bacterial small subunit ribosomal RNA
Source: RNAcentral
GGAUGAACGCUGGCGGCGUGCCUAAUCCAUGCAAGUCGAGCGAACGGACGAGAAGCUUGCUUUUCUGAUGUUAGCGGCGGACGGGUGAGUAACACGUGGAUAACCUACCUAUAAGACUGGGAUAACUUCGGGAAACCGGAGCUAAUACCGGAUAAUAUUUUGAACCGCAUGGUUCAAAAGUGAAAGACGGUCUUGCUGUCACUUAUAGAUGGAUCCGCGCUGCAUUAGCUAGUUGGUAAGGUAACGGCUUACCAAGGCAACGAUGCAUAGCCGACCUGAGAGGGUGAUCGGCCACACUGGAACUGAGACACGGUCCAGACUCCUACGGGAGGCAGCAGUAGGGAAUCUUCCGCAAUGGGCGAAAGCCUGACGGAGCAACGCCGCGUGAGUGAUGAAGGUCUUCGGAUCGUAAAACUCUGUUAUUAGGGAAGAACAUAUGUGUAAGUAACUGUGCACAUCUUGACGGUACCUAAUCAGAAAGCCACGGCUAACUACGUG